This 253-nucleotide ribosomal RNA is filed under the name uncultured bacterium. Its description in RNAcentral is "partial 16S ribosomal RNA". It matches the Rfam family "Bacterial small subunit ribosomal RNA", at positions 524 to 776 of the family's 1533-position model. The record is from RNAcentral.
UACGGAGGGGGCUAGCGUUGUUCGGAAUUACUGGGCGUAAAGCGCACGUAGGCGGACUGUUAAGUCGGGGGUGAAAUCCCGGGGCUCAACCUCGGAACUGCCUUUGAUACUGCAAAUCUCGAGUCCGGAAGAGGUGAGUGGAAUUCCUAGUGUAGAGGUGAAAUUCGUAGAUAUUAGGAAGAACACCAGUGGCGAAGGCGGCUCACUGGUCCGGUACUGACGCUGAGGUGCGAAAGCGUGGGGAGCAAACAGG